This 176-nucleotide non-coding RNA is filed under the name Chromera velia. Lineage: Eukaryota; Chromeraceae. The record is from RNAcentral.
GGCAGAUAGGCAGGCAGAGAAAAAGAGAGAGAGAGAGAGAGAAUGAAGAGAUUCUUUCCUGGUCAGGAACAGCCGUGGAAGGAUUCUUGUUCUUUCGAUUUUGCUUUGUAUUUCCGGUCCAAUUUCUUUUCUUCCUUUUCUUAACUUCGAACUCUAAAAAGAAACGUGAAUGAUGG